CCUACGUGGUGCAGCAGUGGGGAAUAUUGCGCAAUGGGCGAAAGCCUGACGCAGCAACGCCGCGUGAGGGAUGAAGGUCUUCGGAUCGUAAACCUCUGUCAGCAGGGAAGAACGGUCACUGUGCUAAUCAGCAGUGAAUUGACGGUACCUGCAAAGGAAGCACCGGCUAACUCCGUGCCAGCAGCCGCGGUAAUACGGAGGGUGCGAGCGUUAAUCGGAAUUACUGGGCGUAAAGCGCUCGUAGGCGGUAUGUCAAGUCAAGGGUGAAAUCCCCGCGCUCAACGUGGGAACUGCCUUUGAAACUGGCAAACUGGAGUGUGUGAGAGGAUAGGGGAAUUCCAGGUGUAGGAGUGAAAUCCGUAGAUAUCUGGAGGAACAUCAGUGGCGAAGGCGACUAUCUGGCACAUAACUGACGCUGAGGAGCGAAAGCGUGGGUAGCAAACAGGAUUAGAUACCCCUGUAGUC
Molecule: ribosomal RNA, 465 nt
Filed under: uncultured bacterium
Lineage: Bacteria
Description: partial 16S ribosomal RNA
Rfam family: Bacterial small subunit ribosomal RNA
Source: RNAcentral